This 273-nucleotide long non-coding RNA is filed under the name Manacus vitellinus (golden-collared manakin). Its description in RNAcentral is "lncRNA (ENSMVIG00005003407.1)". Lineage: Eukaryota; Metazoa; Chordata; Aves; Passeriformes; Pipridae. The record is from RNAcentral.
UGAAUUUAAUUGCAGAAAACAGGGGAUGGGAAAACUAAGCCUUCACAGCCAUAUUUGGCAGAAGCUCUGGAGCAAGAUUGCUAUUAGAGGAGAAAGUAGGAAGUGAGCCCUCGUGAGGAGCACCUCAGAGAGAUCAGGAUGCUCUAACGUGGCCAAGGGGAGAUGAGCAGAACCUGGAGCUCCUGCCACCAAGUAACAGGACAAAAGUCAAGUUGCAGACUGUUUGAGAGUCAUCCCAUCUGUUGCCCACCUGAACCAAGAACCAAAUCCUAG